UCAUAAGAAAAUUCUUAGAAGAAAACUAGUGUUAUAAGGAUAGAAGACUUCGUGGAAUUGUUCAUUGUUACAUCACAGAUGAGGGGGCUUAGGCCACAGCAGAAGACUUAAGAUUGCCAAAGCUAAUGUCCUGAUUUCCAACAGCAACUUCUUCAUAGUAGGCAGUGAUGGUUCAAGUCUUAGGAUGGGAUGUGGGACAUAGCUCCAAAAACAGCCUUCACCUCCCUCCUACCCCUACCUCCUACCCCACUCCCCCAGGAAAAGCCUGGGAUUCCUAACCCAGCAGGAGCUAAAGUGUGGCUCUCUUGCCACCUCUUCCUGCUUCCUCUUACUGACCUCUCACUUGUCCUACAUCAGUACAAUUAUCUGUGGUCAUAACUACUUCUCAUGAAACUUUCAUAUCUUCUCCCAGCUCCCACCAAUUCUUUUGUUGCCAAUAAAUCCCCUUCCUAAUU
Molecule: long non-coding RNA, 455 nt
Organism: Mastomys coucha (southern multimammate mouse)
Lineage: Eukaryota; Metazoa; Chordata; Mammalia; Rodentia; Muridae
Exons: 2
Source: RefSeq, a predicted model, not a curated record